CAACAAAAGAUCUCAUAGCGGCAGGAGCCCGAUUGCUAACGAAGACAUACUUCUCGUCUUUCUCGUUCUUCUUAGGAAGUAGGUUUCAAGUUUCCUCAAUCGUUCGUUGAAUCUACAUGGAUGCGCUUGACUCCGCGUGAAACCGUCGUUGAGUAUGUGUGUAUGGAGAAGCCAUAACAACUGAAGAUUAAUUUGAAUCUGUGAGCCGAACAGCCGAAGCAACAAAACAGAUAAGCUCUUUUUUUUUUUUCUUGAUCCUUUUAAUAAGAUUUUCAAAGGUUUUUAUCCAAUCCAAGAGAUGAGCCUUUUUGCUUUGGUUUUUAUCAAAACAGAGAAGCUUUGUUUUGGUUUUUCAUCAAACCCCAAAAAGGAUCAUAGGCAGAGACUAAUCUAAUAGCUGACAGAUUCUUAUUUGGGGACAUUGUCCCGUUGCUGAAGCCUAGACCCAUAGAAAUUUUUAAAUCAUGGCCCCAACAACUAUUGGUUGGUGGUAGUGCAUGUCUAAAAAUUGGGGACAUUGUCCGCUUGAUGGUUGGUGUUAGUGCAAAAGAUGGAAAGUAUGACAUACUUUAGUUACCCACGGCUUUUACAUAAACAACAACAAACAACUUAAGUAGAGUCUUUAGACAGAGACUGAGACUGUUGGAUGGAAAUGUCCCGUGGCUUUCAAAAUAGUCUUUAGACAAAAAAGACUAUGAAACAUUGGAUGGAUGGAUCAAACGACCCACAAGUCCACAACUUACCAAAAAAAAAGUCUUUAGACACAGAAAGUAUGUGAGUGUUGGAUGGAUUAAACGACAAACAAUACAUCAUAAAGACUGAGAAUGUUCGGAUGGAUAAAAUGAGAAAAACAAAGACUAUGAGUUACCCACGGCUUAUAAAGGUUUUAAACAAAGACCUUGACUUCUAUGAAGAGUCUUUAGACAAUAUCUUACCCACGGCUUAUGAAAAGUUUUUAGACAAAGACUUUGACUUGCUUGUUACACACGGCUUAUGAAAAAGUCUUUAGAACAAGUAAGUUAAAACAGCUUUAUGAAGAGUCUUUAGACAAUACUACUGCCCACGGCAUUACAAAGGCUUUUUUAGACAAAGACUCAACUCAACUUGGACAAUACUACUAUUACCCACGGCUUAUAAAAGGUCUUAAAGAUAGAAACUAUGAACCCUUUAGACUUCUAAGUUUAUUGGAUGUGAAAACGACUAAAGGUGGAUGAAAAAAACGACCACCGGUUUACAGAGGUCUCAAGGAAAACCUAUUUUACUUCUUGGAUGAAAAAAAAAACUACAUGCGGCUUAGAAAAUUCUUACACAAAGACUAUAUGUUUGUUUGAGUUGUUGUACGGUGAACACGACCAACAACUUAAAACAGAGACUUUGAACCAAAAUGCAAAAACCAUAUCUGUUCAGUAACCACAAGGCUUCAGAGAAAGACCAAAGGCUUAAAAGACGAAUAAUAUGAAAGAAAAACAGACUCUUUACUUCACCACAAGCCUCAACAAAAGGUAUUUUGACAAAGACUACAUGUCAGUGUUUAGCUUGUUGGAUGGAAAAAAAACGACCAACGGCUUAAACUAAGUAUUAAGACUUGAACUAUGAACCGAAAUUGAGUUGGAAAAAUGACUAACAGCUUGAACCAAGUCUUAUGACAGAGAGUAUGAACUGGAAAAAUUUCUCAAAUACUGUUACCCAAGACUAUGAAUGGAAUAUAAAAAAAUCUUUAUGAGAAUCAAAAACAGAUACCCAGAGCUUUGAAAAGUCUGUAGACAGAGAUUCUUUGGGGACAUUCAUGUCACAACUAUUGGUUGGUAGUGCAUGCCUAAGCAAAGGAUGGAAAGUCUUUAGACAGACUUUGAUUGUACCCACGGCUUAGAGAACUAACAAACGGCUUAAGAAAAGUCUUCAGACAGACUUUGAUUGUACCCACGGCGUGCAAUAAGAUUUUAGACAAAGACUGUCUUGAAAACGUCUGAUGAAGAGUCUUUAGUCCAUAUCUACCCACGGGUAAGGAAAAGUUUCUAUACAGAGACUUUGAGUUUCUUGCUACACAUGGCUUAUGAAUAGUCUUCAGACAAAUAAUGAUUUUAAAACGGCUUACUGAGAGUCUUUAGACAAUAUCUACCCACGGCUUACGAAAAAUCUUUGGUUUUAAGACAAAGACUCAACCUAGACAUACUAUACUACCCACGGCUUUAUGAAGAGUUUUCAGACAAAGACUGUUGAAUCUUAAACAGAUUUAUUGCCACAGCUUAAAAAGUCUUCAGACAAAUACUAAGGGUUAGUUUUGGACUUUGUGGAUAGAAUGGAGAAAACGUCAUAACAAUACCAGUACCCACGGCAUCAAAGAAGUUUAUACACGAAUCCAAUGAAUUGGUUUUGGAGUUGAUAUGAAUCAAAAACAGACUCCUUACAUCACCACAAGCCUUGACUAAGUAUUUAGACAAAGACUAUAUGUCAGUGUUUAGCUUGUUUGAUGGAAAACGACCAACACAGAGUGUAUGAACCACACAUUGAGUUGGUUCUUCUGACUUGUUGCUUGGGAAAACUCACCAAUGACUUAA
This is a long non-coding RNA of Brassica oleracea var. oleracea, 2558 nucleotides long. RefSeq lists it as uncharacterized. NCBI's taxonomy places the organism in Eukaryota, Viridiplantae, Streptophyta, Magnoliopsida, Brassicales, Brassicaceae. The transcript is spliced from 3 exons. The record is from RefSeq and is a predicted model, not a curated record.